Sesamum indicum (sesame) is the source of this 1350-nucleotide long non-coding RNA. RefSeq lists it as uncharacterized. NCBI's taxonomy places the organism in Eukaryota, Viridiplantae, Streptophyta, Magnoliopsida, Lamiales, Pedaliaceae. The record is from RefSeq and is a predicted model, not a curated record.
UCAUUAUUUGUGCAAGAUGACUCUGUAUGUUGUAAUGCAUGCACUAUUUGUCUGGUGGUGGACUAUGAUUUAUGUUGAUUUCUUCCUUCACCCUUGUAAAUUGCUAAUGAUCUGUCAAUGACCGGUUAAUUCCCGCUGUAUUUACUUCUGUGAGAUAGCUAUUCUGUAAGGAGAGACUCCUUGGGAUUUAAUCAGAGUUGUCGAAAUUUUGUCCAUAUAUUACUGUAUGUCACCUUCUGUAUUGCAGUUGAUGACCCCCCACCCCCCAAACAAGAAGAACAAAGAAGAAAAGGGGGGAAAGAAAGAAAAAUGGAAAUCGUGUGCACAUGCGCAGUCAGAUUCUAUGGAAAAGCAUUUUAGUUUCUGUAGGAGAGUGGAAACUUCGGGCGGCCCCUACUGGAUGCCACUUUGUUACAGAGUCAUAUGUGAAGCAGAAAGUCAGUUUCCUCUUUGGGCCUUAGCUUCUUUUGCCAAUGGUCCAUGACCAUGCACAUAAAGACUGAUCUUAUAGUUAUUCCCAAGAUAUGGAAGUUCGGCACCAAACUAUGACAGGAGACAUCAAAACUAACAUUUACUUACUAUGGGACGAUGAUAUUAUCUUACGUUUCUAGAUCUCUCUCCCGUCACAGGUCUCUCUCAAGAAGUCAUCACAACACUCACCAUGGUUUCUUGGACAACGACACAGAAACCACGAGAUUUACAUUAUCUUGACAGGGAUGUCUCUGUUUCACAUUUACGUGUUGUCGGGACAAGGAAUUCUUUUUGUUUUUCAUUUUUCUUUAUUGGGUUUAGAUGGCAGUGUGUUUAUGUAGGGGCCUGGGGUAUUUGAACAGGGUGGCAUUGGCACAAAAUAAAAUGGGAAAGUAGUGGAUGUGUUAGAAGACUGUCUGACAUUGUAGGAGACACUGAAAAAGUUACCUAUCAGUUCCUCCUGUCGUUGGAGUCUUUGAUCCCAGCAUCACAAGGCUUCAUGCUACAUCACUUCCUAGAAUUAUUGCCACCUUAGCCUGUCAGCAACUACACUACUCUUCCAUUACAUAAAUACGUAGGUUGUACAUACUUGGGUACUACACAUGAUUCACCCUAUACCAUACUGUCCAAUACUAUGCAUGGUCUCAUAAAGCUACAUAUGUAAUAAAAUACCUCAGCAUGUGUGCUGCUGAUGUGCUAGACUUACUUCCCACAUGUGUAAGCUGAUAUUCAAAACGCAAUGUACUUGAAGAUAGGCCUGUGCUAAGACAGACAUGUACUUGAAGUUCCGCGCGUCGCAUCACAAGUAUAUAUUCAAUGUAUAUAUGUAUUGCUUCCACGUAUAUAUAGAUACAUAAAUACUGAUGUAUGUAUCAUGAU